CCUUACUCCAACACAGUGCCGUCCCUAAGAAGAAAACACAAUGUCGGACAGUGCCGCCCCUCAUCCCUCCUCUGCCGCCAUCACUCCAACCUCCGGUUCCGUUUCUCAUUUAUUCAUGUUCAACGGACCGAAUUGUACAAUUUUGAGAAUUGGAAACUUUUGAAAUGAUUGGAUCUGUGAGACGUGAGGUAAUGCUGCCUUGGAGAGCACUAAAGGGGGUUGAGUUGUGGUAAAGUUCUCAAUGGAGGCACUUAAGAAUGGAUCAUGGGUUCUGCUAGAUGAACUCAAUCUUGGCCCACAAUCUGUCUUGGAGGGACUGAACGCUAUCUUGGAUCAUCGUGCUGAGGUUUUCAUCCCAGAAUUAGGUCUAACCUUUAAGUGCCAAACCUCCAUUCCUCUGGUGAUAACCUUGCUGCUCAUGGAGAAGCACUGAUAGUAGACCCAGGUUGCAACUUGCAAGUCAGCUUUUUAUGAAGAUGUAUCAUAGUAAAUUGAAGUUCUGUACACUUCUUUUAAUGGUUAACAACUUCAGGUCAUAGUGGGGAUGCUAAUGUAUCAAUUGCUUUACCUUAAUUCAUUUGAUUAUGACUUUAAUUUGUUUGAAUUUAUAUCCUGGAUUCCUGGUAGACUUAAAUUAGUAAAUGAUUGAAAUA
Ipomoea nil (Japanese morning glory) is the source of this 653-nucleotide long non-coding RNA. RefSeq lists it as uncharacterized. Lineage: Eukaryota; Viridiplantae; Streptophyta; Magnoliopsida; Solanales; Convolvulaceae. The record is from RefSeq and is a predicted model, not a curated record. The transcript is spliced from 5 exons.